GAUUAAAUUGGUGCUCUAGUGGGUGGGGCAGACCCUGGGCUAGCAGGCCUGAGGGAGAACUCCAAUGGCGUCUGUGUCAGCACGCCCACACCAGGCCACAACAAUGGCCGCCGCCAAUGUCCCAGUCCCUGGAGAGGUCUCACCUCUCACCGAGAUGCACUCAGGGCCUAUCAGGCGAGGAUGCACCUCGAGUUCCUGUGAAAAGUGAAGUCUCCUGCGAUGCAGAAAACUCUACAUGUCCUGAUGUUGAAAUGAAUAGUCAAAUUGACAGUGUAAAUGACCCAACAGAGAAUCAACAAGAAAAUUAACUAGUAGAGGCACAAGAUGACGCGAAGGAACAAAGAAAUGGAAGUCCUCAAUAUCGCAGGCCUCUCCUGGCCCUGGGGCUUGUGGGAGGACAGCAGCGCCCGCU
Diceros bicornis minor is the source of this 412-nucleotide long non-coding RNA. RefSeq lists it as uncharacterized. The transcript is spliced from 4 exons. Lineage: Eukaryota; Metazoa; Chordata; Mammalia; Perissodactyla; Rhinocerotidae. The record is from RefSeq and is a predicted model, not a curated record.